AUCUCUGUGAGUUCGAGGCCAGCCUGGUCUACAAAGUCUCCAAAGCUACAGAGAAACCUUGUCUCGAAAAACCAAAAAAAAAAAAAAAAUGCAAUAGUACCUGCUUGAAAGGGCUUUGCACAACCUGGUCGUAAUUGUACACCCCAGUCAGCUUCUUCCUCUGCUGCCAUGGUACCACAGAAAACAAGGCCACACAAUUCCACCGGCCAACCUGAAACACCGAGCGAGCGUCUCAGGGAAUUCUGCUCUCUCUUUCUAGAGGUCUUCACUCAAGUCUCCCGCAUGAGGGCCAAGAGUCUUGACACUUAGAGGACAACGGUCCUCAAAGCUCGGAUGAGCUCACCGGCUCUGGACAGCCUCUUCGCGGUAUUCACUGGCUCUAACUGCAGCAGGUUCAGAACACAUGUCCUGUGUGGGCACACGGUGCUGAUGUCAACAGUUUGCUGCGACUGCAGGUCCAUAAAGCUACUGACAGGAGAAUUGCACAGGUGUCCGCGUGGGCCCUGGCCAGGGUUUAUGACUGCUAGAAGAUGAGGUGGGGCAGUCAGUCCUCAGAGAGGCAGCUUUCACAACGAUUUCUGUGAGUGCCCCCCAGUCCUUCAUGAAUCACUUGC
Long non-coding RNA from Mesocricetus auratus (golden hamster), 614 nucleotides. RefSeq lists it as uncharacterized. The transcript has 3 exons. The record is from RefSeq and is a predicted model, not a curated record. Lineage: Eukaryota; Metazoa; Chordata; Mammalia; Rodentia; Cricetidae.